Molecule: ribosomal RNA, 253 nt
Filed under: uncultured bacterium
Lineage: Bacteria
Description: partial 16S ribosomal RNA
Rfam family: Bacterial small subunit ribosomal RNA
Source: RNAcentral
UACGGGGGGGGCAAGCGUUGUUCGGAAUUACUGGGCGUAAAGGGCGCGUAGGCGGGAUGGCAAGUCGGUCGUGAAAUCCCUCGGCUCAACCGAGGAACGUCGAUCGAUACUGCUGUUCUUGAGGAUUGCAGAGGAGACUGGAAUUCCCGGUGUAGCGGUGAAAUGUGUAGAGAUCGGGAGGAACACCGGUGGCGAAGGCGGGUCUCUGGGCAAUUCCUGACGCUGAGGCGCGAAAGCGUGGGGAGCAAACAGG